GUCAAUUUCAAGCUUUGGCCUCAUGCAUUGCCUUCUCUCAUGGAGCUUAGAAGUGGGCUUCCUUUGAAUGGCGGAUUUUAUCACUGUUGCUUCUGGUACCGCUGCAGCAUUGCUCUCUGAUGGACCUGUCAAGUGCUGCACGACUUCUCUGAAAGUGUCGGUGUCAGUGUGGACAAAUGUAGUGACGGGCUUGCAAGUUGCAACGUUCUGACUUCCUUGGUUAUUCAUUUAAGGGAUCACAAGAAAUGAUGAUAAAGAAAAGAGCAGAGACUUUUGAUCAAAAAAAAAAUGAAAAGACCAGAGACAUACCUGAAAGAGCAAGCCAGAGGCAGCAGGUGAAUGUGAAUCCUAGUUUCUGAACCCAACAAACAA
Brassica rapa (field mustard) is the source of this 372-nucleotide long non-coding RNA. RefSeq lists it as uncharacterized. NCBI's taxonomy places the organism in Eukaryota, Viridiplantae, Streptophyta, Magnoliopsida, Brassicales, Brassicaceae. The record is from RefSeq and is a predicted model, not a curated record.